RNAcentral lists this ribosomal RNA (253 nucleotides) under uncultured bacterium. Its description in RNAcentral is "partial 16S ribosomal RNA". It matches the Rfam family "Bacterial small subunit ribosomal RNA", at positions 524 to 776 of the family's 1533-position model. The record is from RNAcentral.
GACGAACCGUGCAAACGUUGUUCGGAAUCACUGGGCUUAAAGGGCGCGUAGGCGGCUCAUCAAGUCGGGGGUGAAAUACUUCAGCUUAACUGGAGAAGUGCCUUCGAUACUGGUGGGCUUGAGGGAGGUAGGGGUCUUUGGAACUUCUGGUGGAGCGGUGAAAUGCGUUGAUAUCAGAAGGAACGCCGGUGGCGAAAGCGAAGGACUGGACAUCUUCUGACGCUGAGGCGCGAAAGCUAGGGGAGCAAACGGG